UACAGAGACUGCAAGCGUUAUUCGGAUUCACUGGGCGUAAAGGGUGCGCAGGCGGCCAAGUGUGUGAGGCGUGAAAGCCCGAAGCUUAACUUCGGAAUUGCACCUCAAACUACAUGGCUAGAGCAUUGGAGAGGGUAGCGGAAUUCACGGUGUAGCAGUGAAAUGCGUAGAUAUCGUGAGGAACACCAGUGGCGAAGGCGGCGACCUGGACAGAUAUUGACGCUGAGGCGCGAAAGCGUGGGGAGCAAACAGG
Molecule: ribosomal RNA, 253 nt
Filed under: uncultured bacterium
Lineage: Bacteria
Description: partial 16S ribosomal RNA
Rfam family: Bacterial small subunit ribosomal RNA
Source: RNAcentral